Molecule: ribosomal RNA, 301 nt
Filed under: uncultured bacterium
Lineage: Bacteria
Description: partial 16S ribosomal RNA
Rfam family: Bacterial small subunit ribosomal RNA
Source: RNAcentral
CAGUAGCCGCGGUAAUACGAAGGGGGCUAGCGUUGUUCGGAAUUACUGGGCGUAAAGGGCGCGUAGGCGGCCAUUCAAGUUAGAUGUGAAAGCCCUGGGCUCAACCUAGGAAUUGCAUUUGAUACUGUUUGGCUUGAGUUCGGGAGAGGUGAGUGGAAUUCCCAGUGUAGAGGUGAAAUUCGUAGAUAUUGGGAAGAACACCAGUGGCGAAGGCGGCUCACUGGACCGACACUGACGCUGAGGCGCGAAGGCGUGGGGAGCAAACAGGAUUAGAUACCCCCGUAGUCCCUGUCUCUUAUAC